GUCGAACGAACCUUCGGGUUAGUGGCGGACGGGUGAGUAACGCGUGAGAAUCUGCCCUCAGGAGGGGGAUAACGGCUGGAAACGGCCGCUAAUACCCCAUAUGCCGCGAGGUGAAACGAAUUUCGCCUGAGGAUGAGCUCGCGUCUGAUUAGCUAGUUGGUGGGGUAAGGGCUUAYCAAGGCAUCGAUCAGUAGCUGGUCUGAGAGGAUGAUCAGCCACACUGGGACUGAGACACGGCCCASACUCCUACGGGAGGCAGCAGUGGGGAAUUUUCCGCAAUGGGCGAAAGCCUGACGGAGCAACGCCGCGUGAGGGAUGAAGGCCUCUGGGCUGUAAACCUCUUUUAUCAAGGAAGAAGAUCUGACGGUACUUGAUGAAUAAGCCACGGCUAAUUCCGUGCCASCAGCCGCGGUAAUACGGGAGUGGCAAGCGUUAUCCGGAAUUAUUGGGCGUAAAGCGUCCGCAGGCGGCCCUUCAAGUYUGCUGUUAAAAAGUGGAGCUUAACUCCAUCAUGGCAGUGGAAACUGUUGGGCUUGAGUGUGGUAGGGGCAGAGGGAAUUCCCGGUGUAGCGGUGAAAUGCGUAGAUAUCGGGAAGAACACCAGUGGCGAAGGCGCUCUGYUGGGCCAUCACUGACGCUCAUGGACRAAAGCCAGGGGAGCGAAAGGGAUUAGAUACCCCUGUAGUCCUGGCCGUAAACGAUGAACACUAGGUGUCGGGGGAAUCGACCCCCUCG
This 735-nucleotide ribosomal RNA is filed under the name uncultured Synechococcus sp. RNAcentral describes it as "SSU rRNA". It matches the Rfam family "Bacterial small subunit ribosomal RNA", at positions 61 to 842 of the family's 1533-position model. The record is from RNAcentral. Lineage: Bacteria; Bacillati; Cyanobacteriota; Cyanophyceae; Synechococcales; Synechococcaceae.